This 326-nucleotide ribosomal RNA is filed under the name uncultured eukaryote. RNAcentral describes it as "partial 18S ribosomal RNA". It matches the Rfam family "Eukaryotic small subunit ribosomal RNA", at positions 1470 to 1796 of the family's 1831-position model. The record is from RNAcentral.
CCCUUAGAUGUUCUGGGCCGCACGCGCGCUACACUGAUGCAUUCAACAAGCCUAGCCUUGACCGAGAGGUCCGGGUAAUCUUUGAAACUACAUCGUGAUGGGGCUAGAUUAUUGCAAUUAUUAAUCUUCGACGAGGAAUGCCUAGUAAGCGUGAUUCAUCAAAUCGCGUUGAUUGCGUCCCUGCCCUUUGUACACACCGCCCGUCGCUCCUACCGAUUGAAUGUGUUGGUGAGGAGCUCGGAUUGGCAGCAGUUGGUGGUUCGCCACCGGCUAUUGCUGAGAAGUCCUCCAAACCGCCCCAUUUAGAGGAAGGAGAAGUCGUAACA